RNAcentral lists this long non-coding RNA (238 nucleotides) under Anas platyrhynchos platyrhynchos (common mallard). Its description in RNAcentral is "lncRNA (ENSAPLG00000018765.1)". Lineage: Eukaryota; Metazoa; Chordata; Aves; Anseriformes; Anatidae. The record is from RNAcentral.
GUAAAGGUGGGUCACAGGAAAACAGUAUUUGUUUGGAGAGAUCAGAAGCCAAGCCCUUUAAAACAAAAAUCUGCAGUGCUCAUUAAGGUUUUGAGGGAUGUCAGAACAGCGCUAACAUUCUCAAAGGAAAACAGAAGGCUUAAGCUGUAUGAAGUAAGACACAGAUAAAACAUGAAGCAACUAAAGUUUUGAAGACCAUCAAAACAUAAUGAAGUUUUUUGAGGGAAAAAAGAAGGGC